GCGGAUAUAACUCAGUAGGUUCAGAGUGCUAGAUUGUGAUUCUAGAUGCCGCAAGUUCAAAUCUUGCUAUUCGCC
RNAcentral lists this transfer RNA (75 nucleotides) under Ulnaria acus. RNAcentral describes it as "tRNA-His". It matches the Rfam family "tRNA". Rfam says of the family: Transfer RNA (tRNA) molecules are approximately 80 nucleotides in length. Their secondary structure includes four short double-helical elements and three loops (D, anti-codon, and T loops). The record is from RNAcentral. Lineage: Eukaryota; Bacillariophyta; Fragilariophyceae; Fragilariales; Fragilariaceae.